CCUACGGGGGGCUGCAGUGGGGAAUAUUGGACAAUGGGGGCAACCCUGAUCCAGCCAUGCCGCGUGUGUGAAGAAGGCCCUCGGGUUGUAAAGCACUUUCAGUGAGGAAGAACGCCUGGUGGUUAAUACCCAUCAGGAAAGACAUCACUCACAGAAGAAGCACCGGCUAACUCCGUGCCAGCAGCCGCGGUAAUACGGAGGGUGCGAGCGUUAAUCGGAAUUACUGGGCGUAAAGCGCGCGUAGGUGGCUUGAUAAGCCGGUUGUGAAAGCCCCGGGCUCAACCUGGGAACGGCAUCCGGAACUGUCAAGCUAGAGUGCAGGAGAGGAAGGUAGAAUUCCCGGUGUAGCGGUGAAAUGCGUAGAGAUCGGGAGGAAUACCAGUGGCGAAGGCGGCCUUAUGGACUGACACUGACACUGAGGUGCGAAAGCGUGGGUAGCAAACAGGAUUAGAUACCCGUGUAGUC
This 465-nucleotide ribosomal RNA is filed under the name Vreelandella stevensii. RNAcentral's name for it is "partial 16S ribosomal RNA". It matches the Rfam family "Bacterial small subunit ribosomal RNA", at positions 338 to 795 of the family's 1533-position model. The record is from RNAcentral. Lineage: Bacteria; Pseudomonadati; Pseudomonadota; Gammaproteobacteria; Oceanospirillales; Halomonadaceae.